This is a small nucleolar RNA of Panicum virgatum (switchgrass), 107 nucleotides long. NCBI's taxonomy places the organism in Eukaryota, Viridiplantae, Streptophyta, Magnoliopsida, Poales, Poaceae. The record is from RefSeq and is a predicted model, not a curated record.
AUUCCAUGAUGGGGAUAGGCCAAGAUGUAUUCCUGCAGCCUUUCCCAAGCUUCCGAGAUGGAUUCCAUCUCUAUCUGCUGAAAACUUGAUAUCAUCCCGCGCAGGGC